RNAcentral lists this ribosomal RNA (598 nucleotides) under uncultured Actinomycetes bacterium. Its description in RNAcentral is "bacterial SSU rRNA". It matches the Rfam family "Bacterial small subunit ribosomal RNA", at positions 252 to 866 of the family's 1533-position model. The record is from RNAcentral. Lineage: Bacteria; Bacillati; Actinomycetota; Actinomycetes.
GUGGGGUAAUGGCCUACCAAGGCGACGACGGGUAGCCGGCCUGAGUGGGCGACCGGCCACACUGGAACUGAGACACGGUCCAGACUCCUACGGGAGGCAGCAGUGGGGAAUAUUGCGCAAUGGGCGGAAGCCUGACGCAGCGACGCCGCGUGAGGGAUGACGGCCUUCGGGUUGUAAACCUCUUUCGGCAGGGACGAAUUUGACGGUACCUGCAGAAGAAGCACCGGCCAACUACGUGCCAGCAGCCGCGGUAAUACGUAGGGUGCGAGCGUUGUCCGGAAUUAUUGGGCGUAAAGAGCUCGUAGGCGGUUCGUCGCGUCGAAUGUGAAAACCCGGGGCUCAACUCCGGGCUUGCAUUCGAUACGGGCGGACUAGAGUUCGGUAGGGGAGACUGGAAUUCCUGGUGUAGCGGUGAAAUGCGCAGAUAUCAGGAGGAACACCGGUGGCGAAGGCGGGUCUCUGGGCCGAUACUGACGCUGAGGAGCGAAAGCGUGGGGAGCGAACAGGAUUAGAUACCCUGGUAGUCCACGCCGUAAACGGUGGGCGCUAGGUGUGGGGACCUUCCACGGUCUCUGUGCCGCAGCUAACGCAUUAAGCG